This 303-nucleotide ribosomal RNA is filed under the name uncultured bacterium. RNAcentral describes it as "partial 16S ribosomal RNA". It matches the Rfam family "Bacterial small subunit ribosomal RNA", at positions 507 to 809 of the family's 1533-position model. The record is from RNAcentral.
AGCAGUCGCCACGGUAAUACGUACGUGGCAAGCGUUGUCCGGAAUUAUUGGGCGUAAAGGGCUCGCAGGCGGUUUCUUAAGUCUGAUGUGAAAGCCCCCGGCUCAACCGGGGAGGGUCAUUGGAAACUGGGAAACUUGAGUGCAGAAGAGGAGAGUGGAAUUCCACGUGUAGCGGUGAAAUGCGUAGAGAUGUGGAGGAACACCAGUGGCGAAGGCGACUCUCUGGUCUGUAACUGACGCUGAGGAGCGAAAGCGUGUGGAGCGAACAGGAUUAGAUACCCGAGUAGUCCCUGUCUCUUAUAA